GCAGUGGAGAGUAGCGCCAUUAUAAUAGAUUCAACGAUGAGAAAAACAGAAAUUCUAUAUAUUUAUAAAUAAAAAUUCCCAGAAAUUUGAAUACUAUUUUAUUGUGCGUUCUAUAUUAUUUUAAUACAAUUUUGAUUUGUUUUGUAUUUUAAUAUUUCACGUAAUUGAACAUUAAUUAAAGUAAUUCAAUGUUACGAAUUUACAUCAUUUUAUUAUCAUAACAUUUUUUUAUCGGCAUAUUUUAUCACUCUAUAUUGAGUAAUGUAUUGUGGAUAUUUUUCACUGCAUAUUAAAUACAUUUCUCUUAAGUAUAGUAUUGCAUUUCUUUUAUAAGGAAAAGAAAAUAAAAGUAGAAUAUACUAAUAUGUACAUUUUUAAAUUAAUAAUGUUUAAAAUUAUCAGCAAAAAUAAUGUAAGUAAUUUUUCUGUAAAAAAUACGAGAUCAAUUAGUAACUUUAUAAAAGUAGUUGAAGUUGGACCUCGAGAUGGAUUACAAAAUGAAAGAAAUAUUGUCCCAACCAGAGUCAAAGUUGAGUUCAUUAACAAACUAUCAGAAAGUGGAUUAAAGAAUAUAGAAGUUACCAGUUUUGUGUCUCCAAAAUGGGUUCCCCAAAUGGCAGACAAUGCAGAGGUGUACCAAAAGAUUAAUAAGAAACCAGAUAUUUCUUAUCCAGCAUUGGUACCAAACAUAAAAGGUUUGAAAGCUGCAUUGAAAGCAAAUGUAAAAGAAAUAGCUAUCUUUUUGGCUGCAUCUGAAACUUUUUCAAGGAAGAAUAUCAACUGUUCCAUUGAUGAUAGUAUGAAAGAAGCUAGAGCAGUUAUUGAAGAAGCCUUAAAAUAUGAUAUUAAAGUCAGAGGAUAUAUAUCAUGUAUCAUUGGUUGUCCUUACGAAGGUCAAAUUCAAGCAACAGUUGUAGCCAAUUUAGCUACAUUCAUGUUACAAUGUGGAUGUUAUGAAAUUUCUUUAGGAGAUACUAUUGGUGUAGGAUCACCUAACAAAAUAAAGAAUGUAUUACAUGAAUUGGGAUAUGUAUCAAAUGACAUGCAUGAAUUUGCAAUUCAUUGUCAUGAUACUUAUGGACAGGCACUAGUAAACAUUUAUGCUAGCCUUGAACAUGGAAUAAGAAUUUUUGACUCAUCUGUAGCUGGUCUAGGAGGUUGUCCAUAUGCAGUUGGAGCCUCUGGAAAUGUUGCUACAGAAGAUUUAGUCUAUCUUUUACAUGGACAAGGUUUAGAAACUGGAAUAAACCUUAAUGAAAUAGUAAAAAUAGGAGAAUUUAUCAGUAGUCAGCUUCAAAGACAAAAUCAAUCCAAAGCAGAAAGGAUUUAUCAGAAAAUUUGUUGUAAGCAAGAAGUACUAAAGAUUUUCAUUUUAUUUGAUUUACUUAAAAACUUUUUUCCAUUGAAAGAAUGAUAUUCCAAACUUAUGAUUCCAGUAUUUAAAAACUGACUCUUGUUUAUAUAAAUGUGUCUUAAUACAUCAUGUUUGGUAAAUUUGUUACAAAACUAAUACAAUCAUUGCCAACAUGGGAAGUAACUAAAUAUUAUGGGAGAGUGUGUAUAUAUCAAUUAAAAUGUUUAAAAUAUAGAGUUCAAACAAGUGAAGCAUGGUUUAAUUUCAAAUGCAAAUUUAUGCCAGGUAGUUUGCGUAAAGAAAUAGAAUGUGAAGAUUAUGUUGAACCCAAAGUUAGCAAUAAGUCUAAACAGAGAGAACAAUCAAAAGUGUCAUCUGAGAGAGAAUUGCAAGAUAAAGUUCAAUAUAAUGCAAAGGAUCGUAAAAGUGUACCAACUUCACUCAAGGAAUUAAAAGAUAAUUAUAUUAUUGAUGAAUUAAUAGAUUCAAAAAAGCAAGAAAAGCAAGAAAAGAAGAGAUAUCAAGAAAAUAACAAAUAUCCUAUACAUGAAGAUUAUGUGACAAAGAAAAAAAGAAAAGUAAAACGUGCUCAAUGAUUUUCAUGGUAGAUUAGAAGAAUUUUUAGUUUGGAACCUCUACGACAUUCUCUCAAAAUUACAAACAAGUUUCAGAAAUGUUUAUCUUUUAUUAAUUGUAUUUGUAUAUAAUAUUAAAUAAUGUUUAAUAUUUUAAAAUAAUGAGGAUACUGACCAUAGGUUUAAUUAAGAACAAUUCAUUCCAAAAAUUUGGAUGAGCUAAUGUUAAAUCCUCUCCUUUGAAAAAGCUUUCAUAAAUAGGUACAAGUUUUCCUUUAUGUUGGCGUUUGGAGCCAGAACCGCUCCGUUUUCUCAUAGCCAUUGCCAUAAUUGAUUAUUCAAUUUUUAUCAUUUCCUUUACCUAAAAAAAAUACAUUGAUUUCAAUAAUAAUUAUAUCCAGAAUUUAUGCAAUCUUACAAAUUUUAAAUAUAUUGUUUUAUAUAAUAAUAUAUUGCUUUAUUUAAAAUUCGUAAAUUCUUAUCUUUUAAUACACCUAUACACCAUACACCAUACCUAACCUUUAUACUGAAUUUUCAAUGAUUUUAAAUGAAUAAAUAAUACUUUGAUAGAUACAACAUCUUCCAGAUAAAAAUAUUUAUGUUAUCACACGUUUUAAAAUUGUAAAAAUAUAUAACAAUACAAAUUUUGGAAAGAAGGACAUCAAAUAUUUACUUACUAAUAAAGCAGAUAACUCUUGAUGUCAUGUAAGUAAUUUUUGUAUUAUUUGAAAAGGCAGUACUAAAAGUAUGUCUUUUUAUGUAUGUUUUAACUAUUAUUCUUGUUUAUCUAAUUUUUAAAGGGUUUCAUUGAGACGAGACUCUAAGUACUGAAAAUGAAAUAAUGACGCAAAUAAUUACGAAAACAUCCAUGCACAAGAAUGACAGGGAGCCAUCAUGGAAUAAAAAAUUGAUAUAUACAUAACAUACACAUCAUGAACAUAUGUCUAUGAUACACAUUAUACUUGUUGUGAUAUCUCCGUUCAAAACUUACAUCUUAAAGAUAAAAUCAAGUUCAUAUAUACAUAAUGAUUUGCUUAUAUAAAUCAUUAACAUAUGGUUCCUUAACAUACGAUUAAAUACGUAAUCCAUUAUUACACACAUAUGUAUACACGAUUCA
Molecule: RNA transcript, 3046 nt
Organism: Bombus terrestris (buff-tailed bumblebee)
Lineage: Eukaryota; Metazoa; Arthropoda; Insecta; Hymenoptera; Apidae
Gene: Hmgcl
Gene name: hydroxymethylglutaryl-CoA lyase, mitochondrial
Exons: 5
Source: RefSeq, a predicted model, not a curated record